UUAAAUGUGGUUGCAAAAUUGUUGAGGAAAGAUUCUAUGGCUUUAAAAUCUUAAGUCAAACCUCUUUCAGAGACAUGUAUUCUUGCUUCAGUGAUAACCUGGUUAUCCGUUUUCAUCCAUGGUAUAUAGGUGUUAUAUAUAUAUCUAUGUUUUUACUCUUCUAGGUAUGUUUUCAGGUUGCAUUUCAGAGUAAAGCUAUGACUUUGGAGCAUUUUGGAGCUUAAAGGACAUUUCAUCCGAGCUGACCAUGUAGAGGUCGACGAGAGGAAGAACAAUCGAUCGAUGCGCAUCCAGUGCUGUCGAUCGACACCAUGAGAUGCCUCGACAAAUGAAGAUUAAUAUCGAUCGAUGUACACAAGUACCAUCGAUCGAUGUCGAGACAUUGGACAUGCGACAUUUUGGAUCCAGCGGACUUGAAGCCCAAGUCCAAGCCAAAUUACGAAAAUGUCCUGACGAGUUUUUAACCUAGUAGAUUAUAUACUGCCUAAGUGUUUUGACGGCAGAGAGAGCUUUUUGUUACAGUUUUACUUUGAGAGAGAGAGAGAGUUUUGGAGAGAAGAUCACUUGUGAUUGGAACUCCUUGUUUUCAUUUCUUUUCAUCUAUACUAUGAAUUUCCAUUUCUUCAUUGUCAUGAAUUGCUUUGCUAUGUCUGAGUAGUUCAUUUAUUAGAUCCAGGGUUCAGAUAGGUUUGUGGGAUUAGCCCCAAACUAUAGAUCUGCCUUGUUGUGAUAUUCAUGAUAGAUUUGUAUUCAUUAUGUUGCAGAAUGGAUCAUAGGAUUGCAUACUCAAGCACCCUUGUUAUCCCAUCCUGACAUCUAUCUAUCAUAUUAGGACUGCUAGAGAGGGCUAACCGCCAAUUUAGUAUCUUAAUAGGGCAUAUCAUACUCGCGCAUAGGCCUGGCUAGAACCCGUCGAUCGAUGUCCUCAACUGACUAUCGGUCGAUGUAGGCAAAGGUGUAUCGGUCGACGUCCCAAUAGGACCAUCGAUCGACACUCUUUCAUUGUCAACAUACUAACCGUUGAGACACGAGAUCUAGCUUGUUAACCAGUGAAACAUGCGACAGCUGAUCACUGAGUUAAGCGGUUGAGCUCUAACAUAUCAUGCAUGCAACAAAUAGGCAUCUAUAGAUAUUAUAAUCUCCAACACCUGAAUAGUGGCCCUGCAUCUAAUAUCAUUUCCAACCAAGUUAUAUUUACUAUUUACUUCGCUUGUUACUAUUGCUAUUUCAUUUAAACAUUUACAACUCUUAGAAUUAAUAAACACUAGAUUUAAUUGUUCCCUAGCUCCUUGUGGAUUCGAUCCCUAAGUACUACAUCUGAACUCUUUUGAUGAGAGUAACACUCCUUAGGGUAAUUUGAGUGUAUCAAAGAGACCGCACGUCGCGUGGUGUUGGUGCAUUCCCGGUGGCCCUUGAAAUCUGGAGGACCGAGUGCGCUCACGCCCGGUGUACUCUAACCGCAUCAGGUCUCCAAGUGAACAGCCUCUGUCGAUGGAACAAUGUAGGCAAGGGAAGUCGCAAUAUGGAUCGUAACUUCGGAAAAGGAUUGCCUUGAGGGCUGGGCUCGGGGGUCCCAGUUCGAACCCAUCACUGUUGGCGAGCUGCUUGAGCUGCUAACGUGGCGAGCGGACCGCCUCGUGUGGCGGGGGACGGACUGGGAACGGCUCUUUGGGAUCUUUCCCCGGGCGUCGAACAGCCAACCAGAACUGGUACAGACAAGGGGAAUCCGAUGUUUAACUAAAACAAAGCAUUGCGAUGUCCCUCGGAUGCUAACGGAAUGUGAUUUCUCCCAGUGCUCUGAAUGUCAAAGUGAAUAAAUUCAACCAAGUGCUGGGUAAACGGCAGGGAGUAACUAUGACUCUCUUAAGGUAGCCAAAUGCCUCGUCAUCUAAUUAGUGACGCGCAUGAAUGGAUUAACGAGAUUCCCACUGUCCCUGUCUACUAUCCAGCGAAAGCAACAGCCAAGGGAACCGGCUUGGCAGAAUCAGCGGGGCAAGAAGACCCUGUUGAGCUUGACUCUAGUUGACUUUGUGAAAUGACUUGAGAGUGUAGAAUAAGUGGGAGCUCCGGCGCAAGUGAAAUACCACUACUUUUUUAACAGUUAUUUUACUUACUCCAGUGACUCGGAGGCGGGGUAACAAUCCUUUCUUUUAGACCCUAAGACUCGCUUCAGCGGUCAAUCCGGGCGGAGGACAUUGUUCAGGUGGGGAGUUUGGCUGGGGCGGCACAUCUGUUAAAAGAUAACGCAUGUGUCCUAAGAUGAGCUCAACGAGAACAAAAUCUCGUGUGAACAAAAGGGUAAAACUCGUUUGAUUCUGAUUUUCAGUACGAAUUCGAACCGUGAAAGCGUGGCCUGUCGAUCCUUCGAUGUCGGCUCUUCCUAUCAUUGUGAAGCAGAAUUCACCAAGUGUUGGAUUGUUCACCCACCAAUAGGGAACGUGAGCUGGGUUUAGAUCUGUCGGAGACAGGUUAGUUUUACCCUACUGAUGUCCCGCGUCGCAAUUGUAAUUCAACCUAGUACGAGAGGAACCGUUGAUUCGCACAAUUGGUCGUCGCGCUUGGUUGAAAAGCCAGUGGCGCGAAGAUACCGUGCGCUGGAUUAUGACUGAACGCCUCUAAGUUAGAAUCCGGGCUAGAAGCAACGCAUGCGCCUGCCACCCGAUUGCCGACCCUCAGUAGGAGCUUUGGCCCCCAAAGGCACGUGUCGUUGGCUAAGUCCGUUCGGCGGAAGCACCGUUCGGACCGCCUUGAAUUAUAAUUACCACCGAGCAGAGAGUAGAAACCUUUGCAGACGACUUAAAUACGCGACGGGGUAUUGUAAGUGGCAGAGUGGCCUUGCUGUCACGAUCCACUGAGAUUCAGCCCUUUGUCACUAAGAUUCGACCCUCUCCCUU
This 2894-nucleotide ribosomal RNA is filed under the name Brassica juncea var. tumida. RNAcentral's name for it is "eukaryotic LSU rRNA". The stretch from base 1491 to 2881 matches the Rfam family "Eukaryotic large subunit ribosomal RNA", at positions 1889 to 3399 of the family's 3401-position model. The record is from RNAcentral. Lineage: Eukaryota; Viridiplantae; Streptophyta; Magnoliopsida; Brassicales; Brassicaceae.